This 253-nucleotide ribosomal RNA is filed under the name uncultured bacterium. RNAcentral's name for it is "partial 16S ribosomal RNA". It matches the Rfam family "Bacterial small subunit ribosomal RNA", at positions 524 to 776 of the family's 1533-position model. The record is from RNAcentral.
UACGUAGGGUGCAAGCGUUAUCCGGAAUUAUUGGGCGUAAAGAGCUCGUAGGCGGUUUGUCGCGUCUGCUGUGAAAACUGGAGGCUCAACCUCCAGCCUGCAGUGGGUACGGGCAGACUAGAGUGCGGUAGGGGAGAUUGGAAUUCCUGGUGUAGCGGUGGAACGCGCAGAUAUCAGGAGGAACACCGAUGGCGAAGGCAGAUCUCUGGGCCGUAACUGACGCUGAGGAGCGAAAGCAUGGGGAGCGAACAGG